AAGCGUGCUUGAGCUGGAGUAGUU
RNAcentral lists this non-coding RNA (24 nucleotides) under Arabidopsis thaliana (thale cress). The record is from RNAcentral. Lineage: Eukaryota; Viridiplantae; Streptophyta; Magnoliopsida; Brassicales; Brassicaceae.